RNAcentral lists this small nuclear RNA (108 nucleotides) under Vulpes vulpes (red fox). Lineage: Eukaryota; Metazoa; Chordata; Mammalia; Carnivora; Canidae. The record is from RNAcentral.
GUGCUUGCUUCAGCAGCACAUAUAUUGAAAUUGGAAUGAUAUGGAGAAGGUUAGCAUUGGCUCCUGCUAAAGGAUGACAUGCAAAUUCAUAAAGUGUUCCAUAUUUUU